GCUACAGCUCAGUGUUAGAGUGCUUGCCUUGCACGCUGGGGGCCCAGGGUUCAAUCCCCAGUACG
This 65-nucleotide transfer RNA is filed under the name Marmota monax (woodchuck). Its description in RNAcentral is "tRNA.Ala". Lineage: Eukaryota; Metazoa; Chordata; Mammalia; Rodentia; Sciuridae. The record is from RNAcentral.